AACAAAACAAAAAAACACUUUAAAGAAUGAAUGUGACACUUUUGAUCUUUGCCCAGUAAAUCUAAAGGGCAGAAGGGCAAGUUUAACAAAUGAACAAAGAGUGCUAAGAACUAGAGUGUUUUAUCAGAGUUCAUUAUCAAGGAAGCUCAGUUUUACUUGAGAUGGUAGAGACUCUGAAGGUAUUUGAAGAUGUUCUUUUGGAAUUAAAAUUUACCUGAGACAAGAUGAUUCAAAAUAAAGUGAUUUAAAAGGUGGUAAAAAGAAAACAAAAAGCACCUUCAAGCAAAGGUAUUAUACAUUACAUGGCAAUUAUCAUCUUGCCAUUUGAAGAAUCAUUACCACCUCCACUUUGCUGAAAGUUUUGCUUUGAACACUUGAGGUGAAAACUUGGUCCUUUUGAAGUCAUCAGCAGCAGUUAAUCCAGCAUGAAAAUUGAGUCUACAAAGAUUGGAUCCCAACAGACUAGGGAUUUGUGUCUCCCUCACAAGCCAGAUUCUUCAGCUUUUGUAGAUUGGAAAAGCCAUGUAACUGAAGUCUACUUCGUGGCAAAUGCAUUUGCUCAAAGCUGCAGAUUUUAUAAUUUGAGAAUGUGUGUUAGAAAGUUCGAGACUAAUGAGCAUCUACAUUAAUUUUGGAGUACGGAAGGGAUUUAAUCCUUAAACAGAGAGCAAGAGUAUAUGAAUAUCACUGAGAAACUGCAAAGGGUAAUGCUUUUAUGUGGAUUAAACUAAUUAAACCAGUGUGAUGGAACAAGACUACAAGAGAAGCCUAUUUAAUUCUAUCUGUAAUUCUCUGAAACCAGUAUGAAGCUAUGAUUCAAGUUAACGUUGUUACCAUCGUCCCUAUCUGAGAAGAAACUGUUUCUGUCAAUACUUGAAUGUGAUGGGGAUGAGCAGGAGGAAGAUGUGAAGUCUAAUCUCAGCAGAUGGUUGUCAAAACUGCGCAGAGUGACUGAGAAUGUAGAAAGAAAUAAGAAGAGAGUUUCCCCCAUUUUGUCUUUAUGUCAUGAAUAGUGAAUAAAUCAUACAUUAUAGACAAAUCAAAAAUCGUAAAAACUAGGUAAAAUGAAAAUAAUGAAAACAGUUUUGUUGAAAUGUAUUUUGAAGAUAAAUGUAUGUGAUUACUCAUUGACCUUAAAUGAAUGUUGAUAUGACUGAAAACAGUAAAAAUGGAUAUAUGUGUUGUAUUCAUGCAUUGAUAGUCUCAUAUUGGAGAUAUUACAAGAAUGAUUCAUGUUGACAAGAAAGGAAGAAUGUCUUUCAAGCUGUUACUUAGUUACUGACAAAUCAAGUAUGUCAAUUGGACACUAGGAUGAGCAAAGCAGACUUGUAAAACAGAUAGAUUGCUAUAAGUUUCACUUCUGAUCAUAGCUGGAAAUCUGAAUGUUAACCCAAACUUUCUCUCCUUUUACAGACUUCUUAUUCAUUGAUCUAUACUCUGUGUCUUGAUUUGUGUUGGAAAAUCAUGGAUUAGAAAUGUACUUUCUUAUUUGAAAAAGUUUCUAGAUACAGACCUGUGCUAUUUAUUUUCUGUGUGGUUGGAAUGGACAGAACAAAAAUAGACAUUUGAACUAACGAAACAGGAUAUGUCUACAAGCCUUUUUGAAUAGUGUUUGAUUGCUUUACAAUAUUUUUCUCUGUAAAUGUGCAUAUAUUAUAUUUUGAUGCUCACACAUGCAAAAGUCAUUCCUUAAUGGAUUUUUUUAUAAACAGGCUAGGACUAUGUAAGUGACUUAGUGUCACUACAGAAUGUGUUUGUGGUUAUAGGGUUACUUAACCUCUCGCUUCAGCAGAAUUUAUCUGACUCACAGAAUAGAAGUACUGCAACAUGAAUUUCAAGUUAAGUGGGUGCCUUCGAAUGGUGUUAAAUCAAGGAUUUUCACUGACUCAUUAAUAAAUACACUUUACAUUAAGCACUGUUGUAUUAUAUUUAGUAUAUGUAAAAUACACAUAAUGUAAUUCUACAGUAAUUAUAAUAACAGUAAAGGAUAAAAUUACUUUAGAAACAGAUUAAACUGACUUUCUUCUGAGAUCAUUUGUAUCUGAAUUUCUGCUUUAAAGUGUAUGUUUUUUUUCUUUGUUUGUUUGUUUGUUUUUCAUUCCUUUUGCCAUUCUGAAAAACAGUGAAUUAGAUCUAGUCUGUUCCCAACAAUUUUCAAUUACUAUUGCCUCCUACUCAAAAAGUAAAGAAACUGCAAUUUUUUUAUAUAAGCAUUCUUGUUCAAAAGUCAUAGGUUAAUUUGAAUACUGAAAAUCUGUACACAGCCUUGGCAGCUUAACAGGUAUUUUGAGAACUUGUAAACUAAUUUAUACUAGAAAGAAUAAAAAUUACAAGGGUUACUAAUCUUCAUGCUGAAAUCAUUAAGAUAAUUACCACCAACUGUUUUAUUAUCCAAGUAUAUCAGGGGAAAUGUAGUUGCAUCCUGAAGCAAUGAAUGAAAAAAAGAGUAGGUAUGUAUCAAUCUACAAUUUAAAUGACGUACUGAAAAACAGAUAAUUGUGCAUGUGUCUUGUACUGGUACAUAACUUUCCUAUUAGUAAACUUAAAAGGUUUGUCUAUUAAGUGGAAUACUGUCUCUGCAAGAAUAUCUAUUAUUUCUUAAAACAUUGCCAUGUCAAGUCUCCUUUUCUGGUACUUUCCCCCCAUUGCAGUACUCCUGCAUCUAAUUUGAUUUACAAAUCUUCCUCAAGUCACAUAAAGCUAUUAUUCUUCUGGUGUUUUUUUUUUUUUUUUUUUUUUCCAAUUUAAAAACACAACACUUUCAAAAUCUAUUUGUAACUUUUUUUUUUUUUUUUUUAAAUUCUUGAGUCUUAGAAUAGAAAUGAAAUUCAGGAAUGAUACAAAAGUUGUCCUGAAAGAACAAACACUCACUGUGAUCAUUCACACUGAACCUGUGUCAUCACUCUUCCUAGAUCUUCUCAUGCAAAUAGGUUUACAACUGCAUAUAUUUAGUUUCUAGACUUUUUUUAAAAAAAGAUUAACUUCCCAAACAUUCACUUCUAAUUUCUAAAAUAACAGAAAAGCGUCUAAGUAUUAAGAGUUUGCUUUGAAAAUGGGAUGGAAGAAGUCAACUACUAGUCAACUUUUCUUUUUUCAUGUCUUUUUCCCAUAUUAGAAAUAAAAAAAGUCUACAAGGUAAUGUUUUGUUAUGUUACGCAUCCUUGUUGUGGUAAGGCCCACUGUCAUAAUAAAAACAACCUUAACCCAUGAAACUGUAGAAGCCAG
Gallus gallus (chicken) is the source of this 3225-nucleotide long non-coding RNA. The record is from Ensembl. Lineage: Eukaryota; Metazoa; Chordata; Aves; Galliformes; Phasianidae.